GAAUGUCCUCCUCCUGCCGCGCCAGGCGCGACGCCACGGCAUCCGCCGCCAGGGCCUCGGCCGCCAUGGCGUCCGCCUCGCCUCACACAGGAGUGCAACCAGAUCCUCUCCCGGGAUGGCUCUUUGGAGAGAGUGGACUCUUUUUUCUUGAAGCUGUGCUCCAAAGGGCCAAAGGCUUUCUGUGCUUUUUGCUCUCAUCUGGAGGAAUUCUGCCCUUACCUGCUCACCUGCUUUUUUCUUUACCUUCAAGAGCAGACCUGCAGGAUCCUGCAAGAUGUAGCUGCUGCAGAGGAAAAAGCAAGGGUUGGAACUCAGCCUGAACCUAGCAGUGUCCUUGAGACUGAGGAUCGAGAAAGUCUUCAAUUAUUUAACAAGUUACGUAUGUUAUGGGCUACAAUGAAACUUGGACUGUGCUCAGCCUUCACGGCUGUUUCUUGCAGAUACACGCGCUGAUGGGAAGGAUUUGAAUAAACCAAGAACUGAAAGCAGCUGUCAAAAUGGUUUCUACUCCAGUCAAAAUCCUUCCCCCUCCAAAAGGCAUGAAAAAUGUAAACCAUCCGUUUUCUUUAAUUUGCUUAUGGCUUGCUUAUAAAUAGCUACAUUGUGUUAAUUAGUAAGCAUUGUGGAAAAAGUGCACAGGCCAACAUUUAAUGUAUUUAAUUAGCGUAUGUAAUCGAUUUUUCCAUUCAUAGGGCUUAUUAACUUAAAUAUGUACUUGGGGCCUCAUUAUCAUAGUCUAUUCACUUGGAAAGUAUACAUCCUGCUUUUGAUCCUUUUUCUGGCUGCAUGGAGAACCCAUUUAGUCUUGGGGCAAAGCUCUCAGGGGCCCCUGAGGCUGACCUGGGUGGGCUUGGGUUCCCUGUGUGAGCGCUUCUCCUGCAGAUGAGCCCCCUCUGUGGAGAGCGCAGUGUCCUCCCAGCUGUGUCCAGCAGGCCCAAGGCCGGCCCCCAGGCAUCCCAGCCCUUCCCAGAACAGGACCCAGGGUGACAGGUGCCUGCACCUUUUGUCAAAGAGGUGAUUUUUGUUUCUUUCCCCAUCUACUUCUUGUUUUCAGUAGGGAGAAAGGAUACACGCGCACGCGCGCACACACACACACACACACCCCUACGGAGAAAGAGAGAUACACACACA
Physeter macrocephalus (sperm whale) is the source of this 1131-nucleotide long non-coding RNA. RefSeq lists it as uncharacterized. NCBI's taxonomy places the organism in Eukaryota, Metazoa, Chordata, Mammalia, Artiodactyla, Physeteridae. The record is from RefSeq and is a predicted model, not a curated record. The transcript is spliced from 4 exons.